This 239-nucleotide long non-coding RNA is filed under the name Elaeis guineensis (African oil palm). RNAcentral describes it as "long non-coding RNA (EGUI_LNC059440)". Lineage: Eukaryota; Viridiplantae; Streptophyta; Magnoliopsida; Arecales; Arecaceae. The record is from RNAcentral.
CACAACAUAGGAGUUCGUUAGAAGAUGUAUCUUUGUGAUGAAGAAUGCCAAAUAUUUUUUAUUAUUUAUCAAUUUAUAUACAAUUAUAGUUAGCACAAUCGUCACAAGAUUGGCUUUAGGAUAUAUUUUCCAACAACUCUCACUUGGACUAAAGCCAAUCAGUAUAGUAUCAUAUACCCAUCUUUAAUUUAUCAUCUCAGAACUCCUAGAUACUUAGGCUUUAGUAAAUAGGUUGGUCA